Molecule: long non-coding RNA, 1492 nt
Filed under: Astyanax mexicanus (Mexican tetra)
Lineage: Eukaryota; Metazoa; Chordata; Actinopteri; Characiformes; Acestrorhamphidae
Description: lncRNA (ENSAMXG00005001638.1)
Source: RNAcentral
CGGCGUUCCGAACGUGACGUCAUCGCUCAACUCUGCGGGAGAAUUUAAAAGCGCUCACGUCACAAACAGAGAAUUCGCGCGAUUCUCUCUUUGGAAGAAGGACGGAUUUCAGAGAAGCUCUUAUCAGAUCCAUAACAGAGAGAAGAGAAGAACCAUGUCCAGAACUGAGGACCAGAGUACCGUAUCCGGUACCGAGGAAUACACAGUCUUAUUCGGCUUCACGCGUAAAUGUUUCCUCCAUAUCUACUCCAAAAUCAGCAGCUUUAUGGGGACCGUGCUGCCCGAGAGCACGGGGGGCGUUCUGGAUUCAAAGACCAUCGCUCACUUAACCGACAACAUCUUGAUGGACGUGUUGAGACAGACCAGUUCCACCCUCAUGCAGCUCUGUGAGAACGAGUACUUCUAUAGCGCCACUCAGGCUAAACAGAUGGGCAGCGAUAUGGCUGAGAAACUGAUCUAUUCUACAGCUGACAAGAUGCUGGAGUACUGGCACCUGUGCACCGUGUCCAAAUGGUUGACCGCAACCUCCUACGAUAAUUGCGUACAUCCCAACAUCAUGUUGGACUCCCUGUCUUUCCGAAUGGCGGAGGACACUCUGAGUACUUUCUUCCAGGCCUUGUUGAGCGUCUGCAUCGGGCGGAAGCCCGGCGAACCCUGGUGUGUUUUUUUAGACUCGCCCAAGUGUAGCUUUCUCAUGGAUGUCGUCGAGAACGCAGUGGGUUUAUUAAAACCAGCAGAGACCAGAGUUACCUAUUCAGAGAAGAGAGUCUACAGGAUGUUCAGUCUCCCUUCUGCUAAGGAACGGUGUAGCGAAAUUAUCCUGAGUGCAAUGCUUAGAUGUGCCGAAGAAGAGUAUGAAGAUGAAGAUGAUUUCGACAGCAAAAACGACACUCACAAAGUGAUUAGGAGCUACUGGAAAACUCUCAAGACUGAGACCCGCGAGUUCAUCCACAGCAGCAUCCUUAAAGAGACUUCAAAGAUCACGCCACUUACCACUAAACUGGAACGCUUCGCAUCAUUAACAUCUUCAGAAAUCCUGGACAUGCUGACCUCAGAACUAUUGCUUAUCUUUGACGAGUACUUUUUCUCAUACAACAGCAAAUCAGUGGUGGAGAGGAUAUCCAAAGCUUUGCGGAAGCGAACUCAGGAUAAAUUUAACGAGGCUAUAAGAACAACCCUCCUUCUGAGUUCCAAGCAGGGCAUGUCCACUAGCCAGAAAGCUCUGCUCAGGUCCCGCUUCCAGGCCUGCUCUGAGCGAGUGGUGAGGAGAAUUGUUUGGGACAUCAAGGAAUUCCUCACUGGCUUUUUAUUGAAAAAAAUUCGGGCUUCAAUUCCGGCUAAAACAUUCCUUAAAUCUAUGAAGAAACAAUUAGACAUCAUGGCCCGUCAGUCUAAAGAUGAAGACAUUCCCAUCCCGCGACCAUCUCUACUGUCCAGGAUCAAGAGAAUAUUCCACCAGCUGAGGAACAGGAUACGUAAGGUAUUUCAUUUA